GGCGGCGUAGCUCAGCUGGCUAGAGCGUACGGUUCAUAUACCCGUAGGUCCGGGGUUCAAGCCCCUCCGCCGCUA
This 75-nucleotide transfer RNA is filed under the name Paenibacillus larvae. RNAcentral describes it as "tRNA-Met". It matches the Rfam family "tRNA". Rfam says of the family: Transfer RNA (tRNA) molecules are approximately 80 nucleotides in length. Their secondary structure includes four short double-helical elements and three loops (D, anti-codon, and T loops). Lineage: Bacteria; Bacillati; Bacillota; Bacilli; Caryophanales; Paenibacillaceae. The record is from RNAcentral.